CUGGUGGCGGAAUUGGUAGACGCGUCAGACUUAAAAUCUGAUGUUCGCAAGAACGUGGGGGUUCGAGUCCCCCCCUGCCC
Molecule: transfer RNA, 80 nt
Filed under: bovine gut metagenome
Rfam family: tRNA
About the family: Transfer RNA (tRNA) molecules are approximately 80 nucleotides in length. Their secondary structure includes four short double-helical elements and three loops (D, anti-codon, and T loops).
Source: RNAcentral